GAUCAAUCAAUCAUGUUUCCGUCUCAUGUGUUUAAUAUAGGGUCCAAGAUCUUUGUUUCUUUUUCGCUGUUUCAAUUGACCCUAUCCAACGUGUUUAACCAACCAACCAACCAACCAACCAACCAAACAGCUAAUCAAGUAAUCAAUCAAUCAUGAUCAUGAUCAAUCAAUCAUGAUCAUGAUCAAUCAAUCAUGUAUCCGUCUCAUGUGUUUAAUAUAGGGUCCAAGAUCUUCUUUGUUUCUUUUUCCGUGUUUCAAUUGACCCUAUCCAACGUGUUUAACCAACCAACCAACCAAUCAACCAACCAACCAACCAACCAACCAACCAACUAACCAACUUAUCAACUUAUCAAUCAAUCAAUCAAUCAAUCUGUAUGACUGUUUAAUCAUGACAGUUUAUUGAAGGAACAAACUCUCAAUUAUUCAAGAAAAAUUGAAAUUUAAUAUUGUUCUUACGUCACUUCUGAAAAAAAAAUCCACAUGUUCUCUGAAACUACAAGUACAAUCGACCUCAAAAUUUGCAGUCAGCAGGGCAUACAUGUACUAAACGUUUAUAAAAAAAACUUGGUGCAGAUAUCUCUCAAAGCUUUUCCUAGAGAAAAGAAAUGGCAAUGCCGUAAAAAUAGCUUGCUAGGUCCGUAAAUCUCAGUAAAAACCUACAAUAAAAUGUCCGCUCCGAGUUUGAAAUACUAAUCUGUGUUACAAACAGGUGCUGAAAAAUGUACAUUAUCAGAAAAUAAUCAAUAAAUGUGUUUUAAAGUUACACCGGAUCAAUUAAAUCCAAAACAUGCACUACUUGUGAACUGUGAUCAAAAUGUCAAUUUCCUACAAUGACAAAAGAAAUUACAUUGUGUACAUUCCAUCUCUAUAGAUGUUGUCUGUUUAACGUCCCCCUAAAAAGGAAUAAAAAGACUAUCUUUUCGUUAUUAUAAACCCGUGUCACGUGAUGUGGCGCGCGCGCUGUACCUAAAAUAAAAGAAAAACUUUCCAAACUAAACAUGAAACUUCUCCGGUAACAAUAAUAUAGACCCCAUACAGAAACAAACAAACAAACAAACAAACAAACAAACAAACAAACAAACACCCCCCAAUUCAAUUAAUUUUACAGGGGGAAAGACCCCCUACAAUUGCUUUUUUAAAGCAAUUGAUUUAUAUUUCUUUUUAGAAUGGCAUUAAUAAUUAGGUCUUUCCACUUUUCGUGGAAAGACCUUUUGUUUUUCUUCUGAUUAUUUUUUUUUUCUUCUGCCGUCUGAGAUGCUUUUUUGUCUUACAACAUAGAGAAUGGAUUUUUUGGCCAAUGAUGUUGUACAGUAAUGGGGGUUUCGAAACUCACCCUGUGUGACCGAACACUUAUUCUUAUAGGAGUUAUCUCCCUGCGUCCCCUUUUUCUUGUUAUCGCUAUAUCUCUAAAACUGUAAAAGAUUUUAGCAAACUGUUUUCAC
This 1442-nucleotide long non-coding RNA is filed under the name Mytilus galloprovincialis (Mediterranean mussel). The record is from RNAcentral. Lineage: Eukaryota; Metazoa; Mollusca; Bivalvia; Mytilida; Mytilidae.